This 311-nucleotide long non-coding RNA is filed under the name Homo sapiens (human). Its description in RNAcentral is "HSALNT0057413". Lineage: Eukaryota; Metazoa; Chordata; Mammalia; Primates; Hominidae. The record is from RNAcentral.
AGUAGAGUGUGGUUGCUUAAGAACACAGAUUUUAAAGCAUAGUAGAUUUGGGUCCAAAUCCUGGUUCUGACACUUGAUGUGCUUUUAUUGUCACAGGUAGGAAUCAUUAUCCCCAUUUUCCAGAUGGAGCCUUAUUCUUCUCUCAGAGCCUUAUUAUUCCAACUAGAAAAUGGGGAUAAUAAUUCCUACCUCAAAGGACUGUUGUUGGAAUCAAGCAAGAAAGUGUUCUAAAGAGAUUAGAGAGAGGUACUAAUGCCAUAUCCACGGGCCAUCACACCCCUGACAGUUUCACUUGGGUUUUCCACCUUCCA